RNAcentral lists this long non-coding RNA (901 nucleotides) under Eucalyptus grandis. RNAcentral's name for it is "long non-coding RNA (EGRA_LNC007680)". The record is from RNAcentral. Lineage: Eukaryota; Viridiplantae; Streptophyta; Magnoliopsida; Myrtales; Myrtaceae.
GGAGGUUUAACCAGGAAUAAGGUAUAAAAAGAGAUGUUUCAUAGAUGCACAAGGAAUCACUAAAGACAGAAAAGAAUCGUCCUUGUGAUAUAUCUCGUUUAUCGAUGGAGGUCCAUGAAGAGAAAUUAGCAACACUAAUGAGGUAGCCAUUCUACACAUCCCUAUAAUUGCUUCCGGAACUUACAGAUUACAAAUAUGAAGAAUUCGCAAACAACAAACGUGUACAAACUAAUCUCCCAAUUCACACAGCUAAAGACGAAAUCGAGCAUGCAAAUUAAAUAGACGCUACUAUCUGCAGGCGCCACCGCAAGUCAAAUCACAUUUUCCCCAAAGAUAGGAGCUCCAAAAUAACACGCGGAUGUCCUUUAACAUAGAAUCCAAGGACCUUUCACCGGGGAGGUCAAUCUCAAUCCCUUUUUCACCGAAACCCUAGGAAGCUCGAACCGGCCCUCGCUUCUCAUAAAACAACCUCACUUCCUGCAGCAUCCUCCCACUCGUCGACCACAACACGAACGGCGCUGACAUCACAACAUUCGACAGCUUCUACAAGGAGGUUACCGAGUCCGGCUCCAAUUCAAAGGGAGGAUCAGACAAACAAGCGGCGAUCGGAGUCCCAACAGGAGCGAAAACCCUAGGGAGGCCACGGGGGCCAAAAACGACUCGACAAUAGCGACCCCCGUCGGCCGGCGGGCGACGAAACCCGGCGACCGCCGAACGGCACGGGAACUUCGCGGCGCGAUCGGGCGGAAAUCCACGGAACGAGAAUCGCGAGCAGAGAAAUGCAACUGACCUUUGGGGGGCUUCGGCUCGCCGGAAGAAUUCCCUCUUCUUGGUUUUUUUUUAGGCCCCUUUUCUUUUCUCUUUCAGCCCGACGGAGACGACGAAUAUUCUGGUGUCGACG